Molecule: long non-coding RNA, 2064 nt
Filed under: Fragaria vesca (wild strawberry)
Lineage: Eukaryota; Viridiplantae; Streptophyta; Magnoliopsida; Rosales; Rosaceae
Description: long non-coding RNA (FVES_LNC002312)
Source: RNAcentral
AUGCUCUUUGGCUGAUUUUAACUGUUAGGAAGAAGAGAGCGAUUCUAGGGUUUACGGUUUGAUAGCCUUUAUACCUGCGUGUGAAAGUUGAUAAUAAGUUAGUUCUUUGUUUUUUUUUUUUUUAAGUUACGUUAGUGGGUAGUGGGGAGUUUUUUUUUGGUUACAGGUAGUGGGGAGUUAUAAGUCUUAACUUCCCAUAUAUCCAUUUUUCAUAAUUAUCUGCACUGUUUUUUUAUUUUUUAAUUUCUUUUUGCUUUUUAUUAUAAUAACCUUUUAAGUUAGUUGUUUUAAUCAACUCAUUAAGAAUAGUUUAGGCAAAAUAUAAUUUGGUGAAUUUCUUAAAGGGAAAAUUCUCACUAGCCCUAAAUCUAGACAUUUUUUCCCCACUAACAAAAUGAGAUUCUAAAAUUCCCAUCAACCUAAUAGACUCUUAGAGACUAUUCCCACUAACAAAAUUUUUGACUUGUCAUAUUUUUUUCUUGACCAAAUUACCCUCCUCUAUUAUCUUCCUCUCCAAUUGACUUCCACCUUUCUCUCAUCCCACGUUCAGGUCUACUUUAAUCUCUCUCUCUCUCUCUCUCUCUCUCUCUCUCUCUCCGCUACCAACUUCGGCGCUGGCUGCUCGCUCUGCUUCGGCCUAGCUUCCGUCUCAUGCACCUCGCCGUCGGUGUUAUUAUUCGCUUCAGAUUCCAUGGCUUCUGAACCUCCACCUCCUCUGUCGUAGCCGCGGCGGCGAAGUCGAAAGCCUUAGUGUCGUUGUCGUUGUCGUCGUCGCUCUCCUCGCUUGCUUUCUCGUUACUCUAUGGAACCUUCUCAGAGCAGGAAGCGACCGAGAAGCGGUAGCCCGUGGUGCGGGAUCCGACGCGGUGAUGCUGCGACUGAGACUCUGAAUCGUUGCGGUCAUCGUCAAUGGAAGGCUCGGGCUCGGCUGAGAUAGGGCGACGGUAGCGGUGGUUGGUGUUUGUGUGGUUCUUGCUCCCCCAUUUCACGAAGGAUAGCGGGAAGUUGUGCAAUGGCGGCUUCACCAGCACUGCUGCCAUUGCUCCAUCGUCGUCUUCUUCAACCAACACAAACCACCAUUUGUGCUUCACAUCAAUCAAUCUCUACGUACACGCCUACUAAUAUGAUUUGGGAGAUUUGAAAUGUUUAGGGUUUUUAGAGAAAUUAGGGAUUUUGAAAUUGGUAAUGUGAAUUGUGAGCGGUGGUAGGAAUCGCUGUGGUGAGGGAUUUGGCGGUGUAGAAGGUACGGUUGCUGUUGGUGAGGGGUUUAGCGAUGGAGAAAACGCAGGUAGUCUGCUCCUACUGCCCCUAGUAGACCCUCCUAGUACCCCUAGUAGGCCAUCCUACUGCCCCCAGUAGACUCUCCUACUGUCCCCAAUAGACCAUCCUACUGACCCCAGUAGACCCUCCUACUGCCCUCAGUAAACCCUUGGACAGACCUCCUACUGCCCCAGUAGACCCCUCUACUGCCCCCAGUAUACCCUCCUACUUCCCCCAGUAGACCCCCUUACUGCCCCCAAUAGAUCCCCUAGCUUUCGUCGGAGCCGGUCAACGGUGGCUGGAGCCCGGUCAACCGUCGUCGGAGUUCGGUUAACGGCCCCCGGAUCCCGGUUAACGUCAUUGGUCAUGGGAAUCCGGUCAUAGAAACUUAGAGCAUCUUUAGCAAACUCUUUACUUUGGCUCCUUAGCUAUUUUAGAAAGCGUGUUUAGCUUUUUUGGAUAUUUUUAGAGCUGCAGUAGACUAACCAAAGUUUAGCUAUUAUAACUUUUAGCUAUCUAUAUCGUUAGCUAAAUAUAGCAAGCGAGAUGACUUAGACGAGGCUCUCUAUAAUUUAAUACAUUCAUUUUAAGAUAUUUUAUGUAAUACAUAAAUAUAUUUAAACUAUUUAAUUUCAAUUUUAAGAAUAAUAUUAAUUUAAUACUAGCUAAAAUAGAGAACAUUGAUGUAGACGUUUUUCUAAAGUGGCUAGCCAAAAUGACAUUUUAGCUGUUUUGACUAAAAUUUUAACUUAAAAAUGGCUAGCAUUGCUAAAGAUGCUUUUAUAAUGGUCUAUUGUAGUUUAU